GCCUAGACUUGCGGUGAAUAUUAUUUUCUUUUGAUAUACAUAUAUAUAUUGAUAAAAUACCAAAAAAAAAAAUGAAAAGACCUAAUGCAGAAGUUCUGAAGAAAGUGAUAAUGAAAUGAAUGAAGCCAUUUGCUUAUGCAUAUCCUUGGUUUAAAACCACUUCUUUAUUUAAUUUUUCAGCAUUCUUCUCUCAAUGCUCAUUCUUGAGCAUCUGUACAAAAGAAUGAUUGCUACCAAUCUUAUCUUUGAAUUCUUCACAUAAUAAAGUGGUAUUUCUCAUUUGAAGUGCUGAUGCUGUGUCUUUGUGGUCACACAAUUCCGGAAGUGUUAACAGACUAAGUCAAAGGGAGACAAGUCAUCUGAUAUUUUUGUGGAUGUCAGUGAUUUGGAAAUAUUUAAAACAAUCUAAUAUAAACACACGAAAUAGCCAAUUAGAUUUUAAUUAUUCAUUGUUUUCCUUCAUUUAUUUCAUAUCAUAAUUAAUUCGAAAACGAGUGUGAUCUUAAAAAUCUGGAUUAACUGACAAUCAAACUAUAGUCCUAAGAUCUAUUCAUUAAUU
This 559-nucleotide long non-coding RNA is filed under the name Mytilus galloprovincialis (Mediterranean mussel). The record is from RNAcentral. Lineage: Eukaryota; Metazoa; Mollusca; Bivalvia; Mytilida; Mytilidae.